UGAGGAAUAUUGGUCAAUGGGCGAGAGCCUGAACCAGCCAAGUCGCGUGAAGGAAGAAGGUUCUAUGGAUUGUAAACUUCUUUUGCAGGGGAAUAAAGGACGGUACGUGUACUGUUUUGUAUGUACCUUGCGAAUAAGGAUCGGCUAACUCCGUGCCAGCAGCCGCGGUAAUACGGAGGAUCCGAGCGUUAUCCGGAUUUAUUGGGUUUAAAGGGUGCGUAGGUGGAUUGUUAAGUCAGUGGUGAAAGUUUUCAGCUCAACUGAAAAAUUGCCGUUGAAACUGUCGAUCUUGAGUGCAAAUGAGGUAGGCGGAAUGUGUUGUGUAGCGGUGAAAUGCUUAGAUAUAACACAGAACUCCGAUUGCGAAGGCAGCUUACUGGGAUGCAACUGACACUGAUGC
This 400-nucleotide ribosomal RNA is filed under the name uncultured bacterium. RNAcentral's name for it is "bacterial SSU rRNA". It matches the Rfam family "Bacterial small subunit ribosomal RNA", at positions 355 to 752 of the family's 1533-position model. The record is from RNAcentral.